CCUACGGGAGGCAGCAGUGAGGAAUAUUGGUCAAUGGACGAGAGUCUGAACCAGCCAAGUAGCGUGAAGGAUGACUGCCCUAUGGGUUGUAAACUUCUUUUAUAUGGGAAUAAAACGUUCCACGUGUGGGAUUUUGUAUGUACCAUAUGAAUAAGGAUCGGCUAACUCCGUGCCAGCAGCCGCGGUAAUACGGAGGAUCCGAGCGUUAUCCGGAUUUAUUGGGUUUAAAGGGAGCGUAGGUGGAUUGUUAAGUCAGUUGUGAAAGUUUGCGGCUCAACCGUAAAAUUGCAGUUGAAACUGGCAGUCUUGAGUAGAGUAGAGGUGGGCGGAAUUCGUGGUGUAGCGGUGAAAUGCUUAGAUAUCACGAAGAACUCCGAUUGCGAAGGCAGUUCACUGGACUGCAACUGACACUGAGGCUCGAAAGUGUGGGUAUCAAACAGGAUUAGAUACCCUUGAGUC
Molecule: ribosomal RNA, 459 nt
Filed under: uncultured bacterium
Lineage: Bacteria
Description: partial 16S ribosomal RNA
Rfam family: Bacterial small subunit ribosomal RNA
Source: RNAcentral